AUAAGGUAUCUGCACCUGAAUACAUAGGGUGUAAGAAGCGAACGCAGGGAACUGAAAC
Molecule: ribosomal RNA, 58 nt
Filed under: Agrobacterium tumefaciens
Lineage: Bacteria; Pseudomonadati; Pseudomonadota; Alphaproteobacteria; Hyphomicrobiales; Rhizobiaceae
Description: partial 23S rRNA 1.3-kb fragment A
Source: RNAcentral